UCCUACGGGAGGCAGCAGUAGGGAAUCUUCCACAAUGGACGAAAGUCUGAUGGAGCAACGCCGCGUGAGUGAAGAAGGGUUUCGGCUCGUAAAGCUCUGUUGGUAGUGAAGAAAGAUAGAGGUAGUAACUGGCCUUUAUUUGACGGUAAUUACUUAGAAAGUCACGGCUAACUACGUGCCAGCAGCCGCGGUAAUACGUAGGGAGCAAGCGUUAUCCGGAUUUAUUGGGUGUAAAGGGUGCGUAGACGGGCUAACAAGUUAGUUGCGAAAUCCCUCUGCUCACCUGAGGAACUGCAACUCAACCU
Molecule: ribosomal RNA, 305 nt
Filed under: uncultured bacterium
Lineage: Bacteria
Description: bacterial SSU rRNA
Rfam family: Bacterial small subunit ribosomal RNA
Source: RNAcentral